AAUCAACGCUGGCGGCGUGCCUAACACAUGCAAGUCGAACGCGAAAGUGGAGCAAUCCAUGAGUAGAGUGGCAAACGGGUGAGUAACACGUGGGUGACCUGCCUUAGAGUGGGGGAUAACGUCCCGAAAGGGACGCUAAUACCGCAUAACAUGCUGCCUUUUAAGAGGUGGACAUCAAAGCCGGGGACCGCAAGGCCUGGCGCUUAAAGAGGGGCCCGCGCCUGAUUAGCUAGUUGGUGGGGUAAUGGCUCACCAAGGCAACGAUCAGUAUCCGGCCUGAGAGGGCGGACGGACACACUGGGACUGAGACACGGCCCAGACUCCUACGGGAGGCAGCAGUGGGGAAUUGUUCGCAAUGGGCGCAAGCCUGACGACGCAACGCCGCGUGGAGGAUGAAGAUCUUCGGGUUGUAAACUCCUUUCGAUCGAGACGAAUGGCCUUUGGGCUAACAUCCUGAGGGAGUGACGGUACCGAGAGAGAAGCCCCGGCUAACUCCGUGCCAGCAGCCG
This 509-nucleotide ribosomal RNA is filed under the name uncultured bacterium. RNAcentral's name for it is "bacterial SSU rRNA". It matches the Rfam family "Bacterial small subunit ribosomal RNA", at positions 32 to 517 of the family's 1533-position model. The record is from RNAcentral.